GUAUCGUGGAAGGACAAGUGUUGAAUGUGAAUUUGUACAAUUUUAUUAUGAAUGCGAUAGUUUCUUAAUAUUAUUUUGUGUGUAAACUACUCUUAAUGUACUUAAGUUAUCUUAAAAGUCCUGGUCGAGUCGUCGCUUAACGCCUGCCAUCAGUUUAACACGAUGACGCAGUUGAAGGUGUCGCAGGCCGCAAUUCCGCGCAAUCGGUGUCUCGUCGCCACAUGUUCUAUCGAAAAGCGCACUGCUUGCCAAACACCUGUUGACACUGUUUUUGUUACCACUUGUGGCGAUUGGCGCAAUGGCGGCGGUGUUCCCAUUGACUUCAAACCAACAAUGAACUAUAUAAUCCAGCAUUGAAAUGACCAGAACAAAUAAUACUAGACAAGCGGGAUUUACGGGCAAAUACGAAGAAGAGCUAUCCAUGGCUUGGUGUAGACUUGACGGGCGUCCUCUUGUGAAUGAUAUUCGGAUGCGUCCUCCAUCGACUAUAUAUGCAGAACAGGUAG
This 506-nucleotide long non-coding RNA is filed under the name Drosophila guanche. The record is from RNAcentral. Lineage: Eukaryota; Metazoa; Arthropoda; Insecta; Diptera; Drosophilidae.